This 496-nucleotide ribosomal RNA is filed under the name Pseudoalteromonas sp. ARK-2. RNAcentral describes it as "bacterial SSU rRNA". It matches the Rfam family "Bacterial small subunit ribosomal RNA", at positions 9 to 499 of the family's 1533-position model. Lineage: Bacteria; Pseudomonadati; Pseudomonadota; Gammaproteobacteria; Alteromonadales; Pseudoalteromonadaceae. The record is from RNAcentral.
GAGUUUGAUCCUGGCUCAGAUUGAACGCUGGCGGCAGGCCUAACACAUGCAAGUCGAGCGGUAACAGANAGUAGCUUGCUACUUUGCUGACGAGCGGCGGACGGGUGAGUAAUGCUUGGGAACAUGCCUUGAGGUGGGGGACAACAGUUGGAAACGACUGCUAAUACCGCAUAAUGUCUACGGACCAAAGGGGGCUUCGGCUCUCGCCUUUAGAUUGGCCCAAGUGGGAUUAGCUAGUUGGUGAGGUAAUGGCUCACCAAGGCGACGAUCCCUAGCUGGUUUGAGAGGAUGAUCAGCCACACUGGGACUGAGACACGGCCCAGACUCCUACGGGAGGCAGCAGUGGGGAAUAUUGCACAAUGGGCGCAAGCCUGAUGCAGCCAUGCUCGCGUGUGUGAAGAAGGCCUUCGGGUUGUAAAGCACUUUCAGUCAGGAGGAAAGGUUAGUAGUUAAUACCUGYUAGCUGUGACGUUACUGACAGAAGAAGCACCGGCUA